Molecule: ribosomal RNA, 496 nt
Filed under: uncultured bacterium
Lineage: Bacteria
Description: partial 16S ribosomal RNA
Rfam family: Bacterial small subunit ribosomal RNA
Source: RNAcentral
AUGCACGCUGGCGGCGUGCCUAAUACCUGCAAGUCGCGCGCACAGACGAGGAGCUUGCUCCUCUGACGUUAGCGGCGGACGGGUGAGUAACACGUGGAUAACCUACCUAUAAGACUGGGAUAACUUCGGGAAACCGGAGCUAAUACCGGAUAAUAUAUUGAACCGCAUGGUUCAAUAGUGAAAGACGGUUUUGCUGUCACUUAUAGAUGGAUCCGCGCCGCAUUAGCUAGUUGGUAAGGUAACGGCUUACCAAGGCAACGAUGCGUAGCCGACCUGAGAGGGUGAUCGGCCACACUGGAACUGAGACACGGUCCAGACUCCUACGGGAGGCGGCAGUAGGGAAUCUUCCGCAAUGGGCGAAAGCUUGACGGAGCAACGCCGCGUGAGUGAUGAAGGUCUUCGGAUCGUAAAACUCUGUUAUUAGGGAAGAACAAAUGUGUAAGUAACUAUGCACGUCUUGACGGUACCUAAUCAGAAAGCCACGGCUAACUACGUG